UGGACUGCCAAGAUGUUUUUU
This 21-nucleotide non-coding RNA is filed under the name Caenorhabditis elegans. The record is from RNAcentral. Lineage: Eukaryota; Metazoa; Nematoda; Chromadorea; Rhabditida; Rhabditidae.